GACGAACGCUGGCGGCGUGCCUAACACAUGCAAGUCGAACGAAACUUCUUUAAAGGAUUUCUUCGGAAUGAAUUUGAUUAAGUUUAGUGGCGGACGGGUGAGUAACGCGUGAGUAACCUGCCUCUAAGAGGGGAAUAACAUUCUGAAAAGAAUGCUAAUACCGCAUAACAUAUAUUUAUCGCAUGGUAGAUAUAUCAAAGAUUUAUCGCUUAGAGAUGGACUCGCGUCCGAUUAGUUAGUUGGUGAGGUAACGGCUCACCAAGACCGCGAUCGGUAGCCGGACUGAGAGGUUGAACGGCCACAUUGGGACUGAGACACGGCCCAGACUCCUACGGGAGGCAGCAGUGGGGGAUAUUGCGCAAUGGGGGCAACCCUGACGCAGCAACGCCGCGUGAAGGAUGAAGGUUUUCGGAUUGUAAACUUCUUUUAUUAAGGACGAA
RNAcentral lists this ribosomal RNA (440 nucleotides) under uncultured bacterium. RNAcentral describes it as "bacterial SSU rRNA". It matches the Rfam family "Bacterial small subunit ribosomal RNA", at positions 28 to 449 of the family's 1533-position model. The record is from RNAcentral.